Molecule: non-coding RNA, 381 nt
Organism: Pelobates cultripes (western spadefoot toad)
Lineage: Eukaryota; Metazoa; Chordata; Amphibia; Anura; Pelobatidae
Source: the annotation of a GenBank genome assembly
GUGUAUGUGGGGAGGGGGGCAAAACACACACUACACACACAGCCAACACACAUCACAUAUUAUAUAUAUAUGUCAUGUGCUAUGGUCCCUGGUGGUCUAUUGGGGGGUUAAAGUCCCCACUGGCCUAUUGUGGGAGCUUGAUGACUGCAUCUUAGGCAGUUUCAGGCCACAGUUAUCCCUCCAUCAUAGAUCUCAGUACUCAGUCCAUGAACAGUUGUUGCCUUGUGCUGCGACUCAUUAGUAAGUGCCUUGAGGACCGAUUGCUGUGGUCUGCACCCACCAGAGGUACAGACCACUUGCACCCUCCUUGGCUUGGAUUUGAUCAUCGCAGGCAGUGCUGCAGCAGCCCUGAUUCUAACACACGGCUGGGCUGAAAUCAAU